AUAGCUUACAUUCAUUCUGAGGGGUAAGUCAGUGCAUAGCUCUGGGCCGGAUCUCCUACACACAAGUCCCUCUUCUGCCUGGCUGCACAUAUCUAGUCGCUCCCUGGUAGUCAUUCUACUACACAUUCGUUUGGAAGGAGCCCGACCACUGUUGGCACCCUCUUCCGCUGGUGUGCUACUGGCUCUGUAGUGAAGUCACUUGUGGCGUUCUGUGUUGAGUGUUGUCUCUCCUGCGCAUACAGUGGCACCCUUUACUCAACUUUACCUUCUACAAGAGAACAGCUCCAUCGCCAUGGCGGACGAGGAGGACUACGAUUUGGAGGUGAACAAGAAAGAGGUGGAUAAAAUUGAACGCCCGGAGCGGCUGAUCGAGGUCCUCCAGCACGACACUAACCAAACGCUCACGGAGGAGAUGGUAGAGCACGCACAGACGGUGCUCGACUCCAUGCCGGUCGAACACACCUACAAAGAUGUAGCAGCGAAGCUGAAGCGUCGACUUGACGGCGCAUACGGCGGCACCUGGCACGUCAUCGUAGGCAAGCACUUCGGCGCCAACGUCACCAACGACGAUGACACCCUGAUCAACAUGAAGAUCAACGGCGUGUACUUCUUAGCCAUGCGCUCUGGUCCACCGGAACGUCCGCAAGAAAGUGCGGAGAAUGAGGCCGUCACAGAGGAGUGAAGCGAAAGGAGGAGGUCGAGAGCCUUCUUGCACGAAAUAGACGAAAGAGAAGAGUAGUGGCGGAGAAUCGGAAAGAGAGAUCGCGUGGUGCUCUGGGGGGUGAGGGUGGGUGGGCAGGCUCUGUCGCGCGUGAGACGGUGCGGCUGUAGCCUAUGCAAAGAGAAUCCUUGCGCCAACAGUUCACUGACGCGCAACGCCCCCCCCCUCCCCUCUCUUUCACUUCUGUUCUCUCGCAACACGUGAGUCUUCUCAGCUCAAUGUACAGCUUCCGUUGUGUCUCUCUCGGUAUGUGUGGCGCAUGCCGAUGCGCACGUUGUAUUUUCUUUCUUCGGCAGCUGGAUGCGAUGCCGCACGGAUGCCUGUGUGGUAUGUGCAUGUGUGUGCGCGUGUACGUGUGUGCUUCUCUCCGAGGGGCUGGCAGAGGGUCUUUUCGAUUCCUGCCAUGUUCUUAGAUGCACCGAGGUGCACACAAACCUACGCAUACGCUCAAACGCGUGCAAAGAUGUCUUGCACCCCCUUUUUCCCACUGUUCGGCAUCCUUUGCUCUUGAGUAUCAUGUACAACAGGGUUAUUUUU
RNAcentral lists this unclassified non-coding RNA (1258 nucleotides) under Leishmania donovani. RNAcentral describes it as "gene:LdHU3.36.3050(CDS-product:dynein_light_chain _putative)". The record is from RNAcentral. Lineage: Eukaryota; Euglenozoa; Kinetoplastea; Trypanosomatida; Trypanosomatidae.